AUGAAUUAUACAUUUAUCGAGUCAUAUCCCUUUGCCCUCAAUACCGCAGCUGCGUAUAAGGAUAUUCUAAGUCUGGCACCAGAGGAGACGACCCAGGACCUGAGAAGAGGGACACACAGCAACGAGCACCGUAGAUUGGUCCCUGCAGGACCCCUGACACCAAUAAAGCCUAACAUGACAUCUAAAAUGGACGUCCUGGACCCUUCUACUUUGCCCUCCUCUGACGCUACAGGGGUAACCUUUGACCAUAAGUCACAGACAGUGACCUUACCGGGGGGGAUUGUCUCUGUAGCAGGCGUUACCGUGGUGACUGGGGGCUCAGAGAUGACCUGGGGCUCGUGCAUGAUGGCGUUAGGGUUUUGGGGUACUCUCAUUGGGGUGAGCGUACUGGGGCUGGGACUAUGGGACCAAUCCAAUCAGCUGCAGGGGAACACCUCAAACCUGAUGGUGAUUGGCUGCAUGAUUCUGUCCAUCAGCGUUGGGAUGCUGGGCAGCGUUGCCCUGUGCUACCUGCUGAGGAAGAGAAGGAGAGAGAGGACACGGGAGGAGAGGGAGGAAGGGAAGGUGGUACUGGUGGAGGAGACCCGCAGAGUCAUAAAAAGAGUUACUGUAUGAGGUGAAUGAAUCGACGAGAUGGACAGGAGAACUAUAGAGUCCUCCUGCAUGUCGAUUUUUUAUCCUAUUUUGAUAUUUAUCAUGUCAAUUAUCCACAGAUAUUCACUAGCUCUUGCUUCUUUUUUUCUGCUAUUGAAACAUAUUAUAGUGGAUUAUGCUUCCUGACUAGGUCAUAUGCUACACAUAAUAUGCCUUAAAGUGUAAUAACAAGCAGAUUUCAACACACGUCUGCAGUGCCAAACAAAAUAAAAACAAGCGACAGAGGGCAGUGUUUAUUUCGCCAUCUACUGGACUGUUGUAUGGACUACUGUCCAUUAAAAUGGGCCGCGCGCUGCCGGGAGCGAGGCCGUGCAGGGCUCCUCCAUCUCCGGCCGAACACACAAGUGUCUACUGAGCGAAUCUGGACCAGACUCUGACUCCGUAGGAAAUUCGACUUCAUUCCACAUCGCUUUUCCUGCUCGCUUUUUGUGCCUUUGGAUGAUGGGGAAACCCUUUCAAAUACAACAUACUAUCAUAACGACCAGGCAUCAGUUAGGUUAUUAAAAACGUGUACAAUUCAGUUUUCUUAAACUUACAUUUAAGAGGAGGAUCAAAGUGGAGAAGAAACGAAAGGAGAAGACUGAAGUCAAGAGGGUGGAGAGAUGCACAUUGGGAGGCCUGCAAUGCUGUCAAUCAUACUCCCAGAGUUGGUUUGAGACAAGUCGACAAGGUCCCGGUCCCAGGAAACACUUUGGUUAACUCAAACCUAUUACGAACGUUAACAUGAUCUAUUGUCAUAGCCUCCAUUUAAACUGCAUUUGCAUAUUUACAUUUGCAUUAUAUUGUAUUUAGAUUUUUUUUUUUUUGUCAAUUUGUACUAUUGUACUACUGUUUUGUAUAUUAUGUUGUAUCUUAUUUCUCAUUUUGUGCUUUGGCAAUGUGAAUUAACUUUUAUUGCCAUUAAAGUCCUUGUAAAAGCACAUUUUAAUCUAAUGAUAGUUACAUUAUAUAAAUAUUUCUGUAGAUUCUUGUGGUUAGGAUCAUGUCAUGGCCCAUACCAAAAAAAGGUUAACAGUUGUAUAUGGAUAGUGGAAUAUAACAAAGUAAGAUAUAUGCAGUAUAUUGACAGUAUAAUGGUGCUGAUGUAAUAGUUAAGAUGUAUACGUGGAGAACUUUGAACAUGGGCGGCAAUAACAGUAGUACAUAUAUAAUAAUAAUAAUAAUAAGAAGAAGAAGAAGAAGAAGAAGAAGAAGAAAAAGAAGAAGAAGAAGAAGAAGAAGAAGAAGAAGAAGAAGAAGAAGAAGAAGAAGAAGAAGAAGAAGAAGAAGAAGAAGAAGAAGAAGAAUUAUUAUUAUUAUUAUAAUUAUAAAAAUAAUAAUAAUAAUAGUAUUAUUAGUAGUAAUAGUAGUCAUUUAAUAGUUUGAAUAUAAAUUGUGCAAUUGCUCUAUGAUAUGAAUACACUUAAUACAUUAUGGACCUGAUAUGAACAGCAUUGGACAGUGGUAUUAAUAUGAAGACACUGGUAUGUGUAGUAGGGACGGUAGAAUAAACAUGAACAAUUAAGAUGAGAUACACAGAGUAGCUAGUAUGAAAAUGUCUAGUUUCUGGUUGCUUCAUAAAGUAGUUCUUCAAUUAUUUUUAUAUAUUCCAUUGAAAAAAACUCCUGAGUCAUUAUUUUUUGAUUGUGGAUACAGAGUAAUCAUAAUAGAUGAUCUCUCAAUAGAGGCCUCUACAUUACUAACCAGAGGUAAGUCAUUAAUUAGAAACAUCUAGAGGCAAAAUAAUGUUAUAAUAACAUGUCAUAAGGUGUCAGCCAAUAAGUAGCCUGAGUUUUUCUUUUUCUUUUUUUAAACAAGAGCAUAUUAUUACUGCCUUUACAGCUCUAAAUCUUUUCGUAAAUGCGUUUUUCCGCUACAGAAACGGUAAGAAUGCAUUCAACCAGGUAUCACAGGCAUGAUCACAGAUAGAUAGUAUCUAUGUUGCUCGGAUCACCUGAUAUUACCAGGCUUAAAUUGGUCACGUGUCAUCCAGGAAACCUUUUUUUUCUCCUUUGCGAAACAGAGUUGCAAUGACCCGCCUUUACCUCACGUUGAUUGGUCAGAGUUAAGAAGUACAUUGAGCUGAUUGGUGGGACAGAUGACUCUCCUACGAUCAUGUCUAAAUUAAACAACUCCCCUUCUUUAAACGGGUCUAUGUGUAAUUGAUAGCUUCACUCAAAUACAUCGAUAAGAAUUUGUUUAGAUGGUACUAAUUUCAGAAACUUUACGCGAACGGUAGUCAGGUAAGUUUGACCAAAAUUGCACUGGACCACUUUGAAAGGAAGUGCUUACUCCGCCAAAGUUGCUGUCUUCUUGUCUGUCUCUCAGCUAUGUCUCAAGGUGUCUCCUGUCACUUACUUAUGUAUCGAGCGCAACAUGUCCGUGCUAUGUUAUUAUCAAAACGGCAUUGAGUUGUGUGAGUAGUAAACCUGUUGCUGUCAUUCAAUUGGACCAAAGGACAAACUAAGCGCUAUCGUUCUUUCCCUUUCGCUAAGACUCUAAUCGGUCAUGGGGUUGUGUUUAUACUUGCGCUGGGCUGUAUUUGGCUAUAUGCAUAUCUUAAACGACAGUUUUUUUAAAAAACUAAUUACAAGAGUUAUUUCGGAUAUAGCGCUGAAUAUACACACAAGGUGCAUACAUUUAAAAUGGUACUUUAUGCAUCAUUUAGACUCGAGAGCCUGCUGUUCUAAGGUUUUGUGCGCAACACACGUUGUAAGAUAUCAAAAUAUAGAUCAAUAUAAGACUGCAUGUUUAUAGGAAGAAGUUGGUUGCAUCGAUUCUCAAAUUUAUUUUCUUUAAAGAAAGUGUUAUUUGUGCAUUCCUGACAUCAUGAGGGUCAGUAACACAUGCACAGCUUUCGCAUCUACUUUAUGUGUGAGCUGUGACUAUUCCCUGUGAUCUGGUCUUCAAAACGUUUGAUGUUCCUAUCAAAGCCAAGGAACUAAAUCUACAUGUAGGCCUCCUUGUCAUGUUGAAAACCAACGAAUAUAAGCCCUUUCCAAACAUACAAGUCUCAGGAUGGCUGUGGUUUACUAUCGUACUUGAACAUGCCCUUGCAAACUGUAGGAAUCUCACACCAUAGGCAAAUAUUUGUGCUAUAACCCUUACUCUUUCUUUCUUUCUCAGGAUGGAUACCAAACAGCAUUCCCUGAGCAUAACAUUACAGUCCAGUACAGUAGGAUACAGUACAAAAUUAAAAUCUAAGCAUGUCUGGUAGAAGUGUAGUGGGAAAUGGGUGAUACAGGAAGUAGGUAAACUGUGAGUGUAGAUAUGUAUCUGAUUGGCUGGAGAGGUAUUCAUACAGAAAAGCGGAAGCUACUCUUUCAGGUCUGCUCAUAGUAUUUUACGCAUACGGUCAUUCCGUUUGUUUUGGUCAGUUUAGUAAACAUAUUUUGAAAUGGAGUGUAGUGAAAGUAUCCUGUGUAGCGCUGGAGAGCUGGAGUUGGACCCUGACAUUGUGAGUGAAGAAGCAGGCAAGCUGUAUUCUGAACUGCAGGUAAUGGCCCUAACUCAUCAACUAUUUCCUUAGACAUAGCAAAUUUUGUCAACCUUUUGUUGAUAUAAUGACAUUUGCUUGCAUGUGGAGCUUCAUUGGUGCUGGUGAUGUCAUUGGUCUGCAUUAGGUUGAUGAACAGCAUACAUCUGACUGGUUCCUUUGAUCUCUCUCUCUCUCUCUCUCUCUCUCUCUCUCUCUCUCUCUCUCUCUCUCUCUCUCUCUCUCUCUCUCUCUCUCUCUCUCUCUCUCUCUCUCUCUCUCUCUCUCUCUCUCUCUCUCUCUCUCUCUCUCUCUCUCUCUCUCUC
Molecule: long non-coding RNA, 4434 nt
Filed under: Gadus morhua (Atlantic cod)
Lineage: Eukaryota; Metazoa; Chordata; Actinopteri; Gadiformes; Gadidae
Description: lncRNA (ENSGMOG00000030356.1)
Source: RNAcentral